UUUCUUUGAAUUCUCUUACCUCUUAUAUAAUUCAGACAUAGGUCAAGUGGUAACUUAAGAAUCACAGUCCUGAUGAAAUAUGUUUGUUUAAGAAUUGGUGAAUAAUUACUUUUGUAUCAUAGAAGGAAAGCCUGGUCAGAUUUUUUUGAAUCUUAUUCCUUCGAUUUCAGGCCUUCAAGAUGUUGCCCAGAGAAAAGGUACAAAUAGCCACAAAGUUUGGGGUUGUAGGACUAAGAGAUAAUGGCGUGAUCGUGAAGGGCACCCCUGAUUACGUGCGCUCGUGUUGUGAAGCUAGCUUGAAGCGACUUGAUGUGGAUUACAUUGAUCUAUAUUAUCAACAUAGAGUGGACACAUCAGUCCCCAUAGAGGAAACCGUGAGCGAUUUGUUUUUUUUUUUUAUUUUUUUUUUUGGGCUAUCUGAAUUGUAGAGUUCUGUCCCAAAUUUCAAAAUUUAAAGAAUUAUUUUAGAAACUCUAUUACUUGUCAUGCUAUAGGUUGGCGAAAUGAAGAAGCUGGUGGAAGAGGGUAAAAUCAAGUACAUUGGAUUAUCUGAGGCCAGCCCAGACACAAUUAGGAGGGCACAUGCUGUUCAUCCCAUCACAGCUGUACAAAUGGAAUGGUCCCUCUGGACUCGUGAUAUUGAGGAAGAGAUAAUACCCCUCUGCAGGUUUGUUCUUCUUUUAGUGAACACUAUCCGCAUUAGUCUUUUCUUCUACAGGCCUUUGAAGGGUGUCUAAGGACCUAUUUAUUUGUUCCAAUCUAGUAUUUUGUACCUAAUGUUUGUAGAAUUUUUUAAAUUUAAUUGCAUGCAUAGAGUAGAUUAGAUUUUCUGUGCAAGUGUAUGCUAAUAAAUACAAGGCUGCCCUUCUGAUACAUUGAGGUGGGCAGGGAACUCGGCAUUGGAAUAGUUCCAUACAGUCCUCUUGGUCAUGGAUUUUUUGGUGGCAAAGCUGUUGUGGAGAGUGUACCUGCAGAUAGCUUUUUGGUACUUUUUCCAAUCAAUGUUUAUCCGCAUCAUUUUGUUUCGUAAGUCAGUACUAUAUAAAAUGUUUUAAACUAGCAAAAGUAGUUUUACAGUUUCUUUAACUGUUUUAUAUAUCGUCGUACAUAUGAAAAUGAUAUGUGUGUUUGUUUUAUAAGCAUUUUCUUCCUAGGUUCAAAGGAGAGAACCUGGACAGGAACAAGAGUAUUUAUUUUCGCAUAGAGAACCUUGCCAAAAAGUACAAUUGCACUUCUGCUCAACUAGCCCUAGCAUGGGUUCUUGGACAGGGGGAUGAUGUCGUACCUAUUCCCGGUAACUUCUUUCUUUCGAGUUUUUGAUUCAUGUAUUGCCUUGAAGAAGUAUAUAGAGUUUAAAAAACCCAGCGGAUAAAAUGAUAUUACCAGCAAUAUUACUUACUGUUAAGUUGCUUCAAUUUUCAGGGACAACUAAGAUUAAAAACCUUGAUGACAAUAUUGACUCCUUGAGGAUUAAACUUACAAAAGAGGAUCUGAAAGAAAUUUCUGACGCUGUGCCCGUAGAAGAGGUAGCAGGAGACAGAGACCCGGAAGGCUUUGAUAAAGCAUCGUGGAAGUUUGCAAACACACCUCCAAAAGACUGCAAGGUUUGAACUUAAAAUAGUUCUUGAUGCUGCCUAUCUUACUUGGAGCUGGGAUGCAAUAGUUUAUUCAAAUAAUGGCAGAUAAAUGCCAAAUUAUCUGUACAAUCUACGACUUGGCUAUCUGCCUAUUUGAUGUUAAACUUUGAUUAUUACGAUCUACUAUAUGUUUGGAAAUUUAGCAUGGCCAAUUUGUGAAAUGAAAAUAUGCAUGUUUGAACUUUUCUAAGUUAAAGCUGAAUUCCAAGUUACUAUAAAAGCUUGCCAACUCUCUUUCCUUGAAAAUAAAGAUUGGAAAUAUCCAAAUUUUGGAUUGUAACAAUUUGCUUGGAUUUUACUUCAUCAUUGUAUGGAUAUAUGUUGAAAAAUUUUCAGCGUUUUUGAGUUCCAUGAAUGGGACAUGAAUGAAAUCUAUGAACCAUAUCUUAGCUAGCAGUUUCUCAACAAGACCUGGAGGAUACUUUAUUGAAAAUAUAGUUUCUCAACAUAAUACAUUGUCACUGCAACUUGAGUGGUUAAAUGAUAAAAGGUGAAUAUGUGUUGUUCAGAAAUAAGAAUAAUUGCAUAAAUUGUGAAGUUAACAAUUGCUAUUUAGGAGGCUCAAUUGACACAUUGAUAAACUUUCUAAUUCCUUUAGCAACAAGGCACCAGUGGUCCAGCGGUAGAAACAACCCCCCACCCCCCGGCGGGCGGGUAUAGUAAUCAGCCCCAACGUCGAACAAUUUUUAUUGCUGCCUUCUUUUGAUUAGUUCCAAAUCCUGCUUUAUUUUGUUAGUCCAUGGUACAAAGUACAAAACAGCAACGGGUAAUUUUUAGGGAUCUCCCUUGAGGUUUAGCGUAUUAACACAUAGAGCGAAUAUAUCCACUUAAUUACAAGCACCUCCCCUUCCGUUAGUAUUUAAAUACGUAUGGUAUCAGUAUAUAAGGGUAAAUAUGUAAAAAUAUAUUUAAAAUUCAAAAAAAUUCAAAAGUGCAGCUUUAUGUUUCUUGAUGUUCUGAGAUAAUCUGAAAAAAUUGUAAGGGUUUAGAACGGUGGAGUAAUCGUCGUUUAAAUGAAUGAUAUGUCAUCUAUGCGUUGUAUGAGGUUAUAGCAACUAUCUAUCUGGUCACCGUUUUCAAGUCUCAAUUGGUAGUCCAAAGAAAAGAAUGAUUCUACAGUAGCAUUAAGUGUUAAUUGGACACAAAAAGAAGUGUUUUAACCACUUUAAGGAAAAUAAAUGUAAUUUUCUGUCCUAAAGAAAAGGUAAAUGUAUGCACUGUCAAUUAAUCUUUGGUCGACCAACAACAUCAUAAUUUCGCCUGGAUUGGUGGCGCACAAAGAAAGCCCUGAACUGGGGUCCUGACGACGGCCUAGAUCUCAUCGUCGACGAUGAUGGUGACGCCACAUUGUUGAUCCAUGAGGGAGUCAAAGCCGCUGUUGUUUGCGGUUAUGGUGAUGUUGGCAAGGGUUAUGCUGCUACUUUGAAGCAAGCCGGUGCUCGUGUAAUUGUUACCGAGAUUGAUAUGUACUACGAUGAUCUGUACGAGGAUGUUAGGUUUAAAUUUCGUAGGAGUGUGUGUUUGGGUGGUGGGAAAGUUGGGAGGAAAGAAACGGAUUGGUUUCAGUUGAUUGAAGACCAUUUGAGAUUUGAAUAAUGUUUUGGAUGGGGCUGUGUGAAUUAUUUUGUAUUUGAUGCAGUUUUAAAGUUUUGAUUGCUUUGCUGCAUCUUGUUAUCCUAUUGUUUACUGAUGAAUGAUUAAAAAAAAAAAGAAUUUUUAUUCCAGUUUCAUAUCUACAUAAAAAAUCAUUAUGAAAAAUUAAGGCCAAUUCGAUCAUUUAUAAUCAUUUUACAAUAUAAGGCUCAAAGCUCUCUGCUUGUGAUAUUUUAAGAUCAUUUUACCAUUGCAAUUGACAGUCUAAUCUUUUUUCUUAAAGUCCUGUUUUAUAAUUUAUUAUUAUGAUAUAAAGGAUACUUUUGUAAUUUCAAUAGUCUGUUAGUAGUCAAAUUAACUGAAUACUAACGACAAACGACUAGGGAGGUACUUGUAAUUACUUGGAUACAUUCUCUCUAUGUGUUAAUACGCUAAAUCUCAAAAGAGGUUCGUAAAAAUUACCCAAACAGCAACACCAGUAACUCUCUUACGCUCUCCUUUAAUAAGGGUUAAGCUAAGCUAACAGCUUUUCCAAAGAUGGCAGAAAAGAACAAAAUCCAAAUUCCAACAGUGAUAUUUGGAUUUCCGAUUUGCAGUUUCAAUUUUUUUUUUCUGUUUUUUUUUUCCUUUAAUGCUGAUAAUUCGUUUUCUCUAAUGAUGGCCAGUGGGCCGUGCCGGCACCAAACGUCGGCCCACACAGGCUCGUUGGCUGGCACCGCACGCCCCACUAAUUUGGUGGGCCGUGCCCACUUUUUUUAUAAGAGCCCGGCACAGCCCACCAACCUCUUUUUUUUUUUUUUUUGUCCACAUGUCCAACAUACUUAAAAAAACUUACGUGUCUGGCGUAUUUUAUUCAAGAGCACGUGUCCGGCAUACUUUUUUAAGUCCACCAGCCUAAUAAUAAUAAUAAUAAUAAUAAUUUCAUAAAUCAUAAUAAUAAUUAAUUAAAAAUAAAAUUACAAUUUUAGAAUAACAAUUACAUCUAAUUUUAUUUGAACUACUAAUAUUAUAAUUGCACAUAAACUCCAUUGAAUGAAAAUGUAAUUUUUAAUUUAUCAUAAAAAUAUUUUGUUCAUAAUUUUAUUUUUUUGUGUAUAAAUAUGAAAAAUAUUUCAUUCACAAAUGAAACAUAUCUCCAUUAACUAUUAACUAAGUUAUGAUUUCAUAAAUGAAAUAUUAAUGUCGUAAAAUUUUUUAUUUAUCAUUUAUAAAAUCAUGAUAUUUAUUUAUCCAUUUAAUAAAUUAUAAACAUAAAAAAAAUUAGAAUAUUUAUUUAAACUAGGACUUAAAUUAAUUUUAAAAAGCCUAUGCUAAAAAAAUAUAUUAAAAUUUUAAUUUCAAGAUAUUUAUAAAAUCAUGAUAUUUUAUAUUUAUUUUUCAUUAAAAUUUUUUAUUUUGAUAUAUUUUGACCCACAUGCUAUUGGUGGCCCACGGGCCGCGUGCUUAGCCCACUAAUGAAGCGUGCUUAUUACGUGCCUUUUCGCGUACCGUGCUUUGGCCCAUAUUUAAUCGUGCUGUGCUUUUAAGGCCCGCGUGCCUAAAAUUCUAGGCUCGGCACGGCCCACGUGCGUGUCAUGCCGUGCCUCGUGCCCUACCGAAACGUGCUCGUGUUGUGCCGUGCCUUGUGCCGCCCGGCCCAUUGGUCAUCUCUAAUUUUCUCUGACUGUGUUUUUUUGCUUUCACAGGUUUCAAAGCUGGAGUUUGAAUGCAUGAGCCUAAGUGGAGGUUACAGUUCUCUAGUCUCUGAAGAGGAUGGCAUCUCAAUAAGAAAGCAUGCUUUCAACAAAGGAAUCACUCUUUUUUUUUUUUUUUAACUAAUUAAGCAUCAUGUUACUGUAUUACAUAGACAUUUACAAUUGCUAUGACAGUAGAUCAUUAUACUGAUAUUUACAAUUAAAUAUAUAAUUGGGACUUAUAUUAUUACAUUAUUAAUUUUAUGAAAUACAUGCCAGACAAAUAAUCCUCACGAAAGAAUGAUGUCUUUACUCCACUCGCAUUUCAGAAGGGAGAAAUACUUCACAAAUAAUUUUCACAAAAUUAUGUUUAAUUGAGAGAGGUUGAGUUCAUGGAGACUCGAACCAUUGCCCUCAUAGUCAUGCUUAACUUUAAGGCCAAUGGUUCACCACUAGGCUAAAGCCUAAGUGGCAGGAACCACUUUCUUUGAUACUGCUUAGUGCUGAUAGAUAUGGACCUUACACUAACGAAAUUCUUCUUAGAAAGUUAAUAAUUAUGAAAAUGGCAUAAAAUGAAAUUAUCUUAUCAUGGAAUAACAUUUUAAAAGAAAAUCCAAAAUCCAAAUAGGUUAUAUUUAUGUUAAAAUUCUAAAUAAAAAAAAUCAUAAAUUAGUAACUAAAUUAACUUAAUAAGAAUAACAUUGUCGUAUUACACAAAAAAAAAAAUCAUUUUGAUGAAUAUUUAAUGUUUGUAAAAUAAAUUAAAUUGAUUAGGGUAAUAUGGACUUUUUAUUAUAAAAUAACCUAAAUUGUUAGGGAAAUAAUUAACUGUAGCAUUGUUAAAUUUAAAGGGGAAAGUAGUAUUUCUAACUUAUUGAGUUAUUUCCAUAAUAAUAACCUAAAUAUGUUUGUUUAAGGUUUUGGCAAAUAGCUACUCUUAGACAUUACUAAGAAUAUCUGAAGAUGAAAAUCAAAUCACUGUUAAAAUUACCCCUGAGAAGCCACGAAGUUUGGGACUACAGAAAUAGAUACCCCUGAGUAUGUGCUCUGCCUUGUUGUGAAGCAAGCUUGAAGCACCUUGAUUUGAUUAUUAAUUGGCUUGACUUCCCUCUAAUUUUGGAUAAUUUCCUUAUAUGCUUUUCACUAAAAACAAAUAAAUUUACAAAGAAUACAUGCAUAGAUAACUUUCUUUCAAAUUUAAAAUGAAAAAUAAAUUGCGAAAAGAAAUUGUGAAUCUGAUGAUUCUUUUAAUAAAAAAAUUUACUGAUUAUAUGGUCAAAUCGAGACUGUAAAUUUCUCUCCUAAGUUCUACCUGACAUUUUGCAAAGUCUAGGGGAUAUUUCUUAACUUUUAAAAUAUUUUGAACUUGUUUCCAAUUACACUGAACUUUGGGACACUUGUCAAAACUUUAUAAGUUCAUGAUUAAUCAUGAUAAAGAUAAAGAGCACGUGUCCCAGCUUAACACUUUUAGUCAUACGGAGCCUUCGACUUGGAGCCAAACCAGAAUCCUCUGUCUCAUUCUGCUCAUUGUUGACGUUAGAGUCAACUGUCUCUCUACUUAUUGAAACUUGAAAGACACCCAAAACAAAGAAACCAAAACUACAGCUUCAAAAAUGGCAGAAGAGAAACUCCAAGUUCCAAGAGUGAAACUUGGUACCCAAGGCCUCGAGGUAAACUACCCAUAUGUAAUUUUUUUUUUAAAAUCAAAUCCUGGAAAUUUGUUUUUCAUGGUCUUACAGGUUUCAAAGUUGGGGCUUGGAUGCAUGAACCUGAGUUCUGGUUAUAGCUCUCCAGUCUCAGAAGAGGAUGGCAUCUCCAUGAUAAAACAUGCUUUCAGUAAAGGAAUCACUUUCUUUGAUACUGCUGAUGUGUACGGACAAAAUGCUAAUGAAACUCUUCUGGGAAAGGUUAUGGUCAUUUCUUUGAAUUCUCUUACUUCUUAUAUAAUUCAGACAUAGGUCAAGUGGUAACUUAGGAACCACAGUCCUGAUGAAAUAUGUUUGUUUAGGAAUUGGUGAAUAAUUACUUUUGUAUCAUAGAAGGGAAACCUUGUCAGAAUUUUUAGAAUUUUAUUGAAUUAAAAAAAAAAAAAAAGAGUACUCCUUCGAUUUCAGGCCUUCAAGAUGUUGCCCAGAGAAAAGGUACAAAUAGCCACAAAGUUUGGGGUUGUAGGACUAAGAGAUAAUGGCGUGAUCGUGAAGGGCACCCCUGAUUACGUGCGCUCGUGUUGUGAAGCUAGCUUGAAGCGACUUGAUGUGGAUUACAUUGAUUUGUAUUAUCAACAUAGAGUGGACAUCGGUCCCUAUCGAGGAAACCAUGAGUGAUAUUUUUUCUCCCGGGCUAACUAUCUGAAUCGUAAAGUUCUGUCUUAAAUUACAAUAUUUAAAGAGUUUUUUAGAAACUAUAUUCCUUGUCAUGUUAUAGAUUGGCGAAAUGAAGAAGCUGGUGGAGGAGGGUAAAAUCAAGUACAUUGGUUUGUCUGAGGCUAGCCCAGACACAAUUAGGAGAGCACAUGGUGUUCAUCCCAUCACAGCUGUACAAAUGGAAUGGUCCCUCUGGACUCGUGAUAUCGAGGAAGAGAUAAUACCCCUCUGCAGGUUUGUUCUUCUUUCAGUGAACACUAUCCACAUUAGUCUUCUCUUUUACAGUCCUUUGAAGAGUGUCUAAGGACCUAUUUACCUUUUCCAAUCUAGUAUUUUGUGUCUAAUGUCUGUAGAAUUUUAAAAAAAAUAAUUGCUUGCUUAGAAUAGAUUAGAUUUUCUGUGCAAGUAUAUGCUAAUAUAUACAAGGCUGCU
This 7698-nucleotide long non-coding RNA is filed under the name Citrus maxima (pomelo). RNAcentral's name for it is "long non-coding RNA (CMAX_LNC001493)". The record is from RNAcentral. Lineage: Eukaryota; Viridiplantae; Streptophyta; Magnoliopsida; Sapindales; Rutaceae.